Molecule: ribosomal RNA, 270 nt
Filed under: uncultured bacterium
Lineage: Bacteria
Description: partial 16S ribosomal RNA
Rfam family: Bacterial small subunit ribosomal RNA
Source: RNAcentral
AAUCAACGCUGGCGGCGCGCUUAACACAUGCAAGUCGCACGAGAAAGCAGGAGCAAUCCUGUGAGUACAGUGGCGUACGGGUGAGUAACACGUGGGUAAUCUACCUCUUAGUGGGGAAUAACGCUGGGAAACCGGCGCUAAUACCGCAUAAGCUCGAGAGAGGAAAGCAGCAAUGCGCUGAGAGAGGAGCCCGCGGCCGAUUAGCUAGUUGGGAGGGUAAAAGCCUACCAAGGCAGAGAUCGGUAGCCGGCCUGAGAGGGCACACGGCCA